AUUGAACGCUGGCGGCAGGCCUAACACAUGCAAGUCGAACGAGGGGCGGACGGGUGAGUAAUGUCUGGGAAACUGCCUGAUGGAGGGGGAUACCUACUGGAAAAGGUAGAUAAUACCGCAUACCAUUGGAUGUGCCCAGAUGGGAUUAGCUAGUAGGUGGGGUAAAGGCUCACAUAGGCGACGGUCCCUAGCUGGUCUUAGAGGAGGACCGGCCACACUGGAACUGAGACACGGUCCAGACGCCUACGGGAGGCAGCAGUGGGGAAUAUUGCACAAUGGGCGCAAGCCUGAUGCAGCCAUGCCGCGUGUAUGAAGAAGGCCUUCGGGUUGUAAAGUACUUUCAGCGGGGAGGCGUUACCCGCAGAAGAAGCACCGGCUAACUCCGUGCCAGCAGCCGCGGUAAUUC
This 406-nucleotide ribosomal RNA is filed under the name uncultured bacterium. RNAcentral's name for it is "partial 16S ribosomal RNA". It matches the Rfam family "Bacterial small subunit ribosomal RNA", at positions 30 to 526 of the family's 1533-position model. The record is from RNAcentral.